GCAGCUGAGCAGAAUCGGCGCUCGCAGUCUGCUGCCCGGCCUGGCAGGAGCUCCUUCUCCUCCUUCUCCAGGAAAUUCCCGGCCUUUGCUGCCCCAUCCCGUGACUGCUGCCCCAGACGUGGGUAAUGCCAGCGUUGCAGAGCCCCCUCCCUCCAGCACCUCUGCCGUAUUUACUUGUUUUUCCCCGUUUUAUGCUUAGGCUUGAAGUUCUUCAGGACGUGGAGCAUCUCCUUGCUUAUUUUUGAGCAUCUCCAACAACGAGGUGUCGGCGCUGAGCUGCUGUUGGGACACAAAUACCGAGGAGGAAUAACACUUCCUCGGUAACGAUUCAGCCCAGGGUCCAGGCCGGUUGGCGACCUGAGAAAACCAGUCCUGUCCUGGAGCGUGUCGCACUCCUCCCUCAGCCCUCCUCCUGCUAAACACAUCCUGAGAAAACAACACGGUGUGCUGCCAAAAUAGCAGAAAGAAGCAACUCCCCAAACAGGAGGCCUUCCCCCAGCUCCGCCGUGUGAACCGCAGGUCUCGUGAAGCAGCAGGAGAGACAGGGAAAGUACACGCGGCUGAACUGGGCUGACAGACAGGGUGAAGCCCGAGGACCUGGUUCCUGGCAGCGACUGGCAGAUGAAGUGAAAGAGCAUUGGAAACGUGCGGUGGUGCUGCAGCCAAGACGAGCUGGAAAGAGGUGUACAGCUUCUUGCUCGACUUCUGCGCUCAUCAGGUUAAGAAUUAAAAAGAGAGAAAGGAGAACAAGAUGGAAGAGCUCCCAGAGAGCCAACAGGCCUCCUGCCCUGCGCUGGAUUCAGACCUUGCUGAAGCUGCUGCUUCCCAGCGAUGGCUUCGUGCCGCUUCUCCUCCCCCACCACGUCACGCGCGGCUCGUCCCACCACGGCAAAUCCACGUUUUAGAUGCGGAAGCAGGCAAAUGCCGGCGGAGAGCGAGGCAAGGAUGCACGAAGCGAUCUCAGCUUGUCAGGCAACAUCGGCUCUCCCACCAUCGGGGAGGAGGCAGAAACAGCGGCUCUGUGAACACAGCACAAAGAGCAAGCUUCGGCGUGUAAAACCACGAUCGCACUGCAGAGCUCAAGCAAACCAUCCGAGAGAGCUCCUACGAUCAGUGCAUGAGCUCGUGCUGAGAUUUCUCCACCGAUUUCUCCACCAAAUGUACAGUAUUUCCAUGCACAGUCAGGGGCGGCAGAAAAAAAAUAAUAAUCCUUUAACUGCAUUUUCCAGUACUACGUUACUUCAGAGGUUAACCGAAAUCACUUACUUCAUAGCUAACUUUGCUAUAUCGAAUCAAUGUACAAGUUCCUUAUUGGAUUUUUAUUACAGGUAAAAUUGACAGAGAAAAUCACUAGGAUAUACUUAAAAAUGGGAAGGAAAUGUACGUUUACAAUAAAAAGGUCUCUGAAGGUCUCUUGUUUCA
RNAcentral lists this long non-coding RNA (1422 nucleotides) under Anser cygnoides (Swan goose). RNAcentral describes it as "lncRNA (ENSACDG00005000367.1)". The record is from RNAcentral. Lineage: Eukaryota; Metazoa; Chordata; Aves; Anseriformes; Anatidae.